Molecule: long non-coding RNA, 1043 nt
Filed under: Homo sapiens (human)
Lineage: Eukaryota; Metazoa; Chordata; Mammalia; Primates; Hominidae
Description: HSALNT0388717
Source: RNAcentral
CUCCUUUUGUGAGGAUUGGGAUAUUCCGACUCCUUAAGGGCCUGGCGCACAUAAGGGCCACAUCUGCCAGAGCCUGGAGUCUGCGAAGGCCGGGACCCGGUUCCCCGGCCCACAGUGGGGGUGUGCAAACCCGAGAGAACUGGUCGCUGAAACCUCUACAACUUAGUUGACCGUAACUGCCAGAGCCCUGCCCUGAAUUCCUGUCCUUACUCCCUCUUUAAGAUUGCGUACCCACUGCAGAGUGCUGAAGACGGGGUAGCCACGAGGUUGCAAAUUCGUGAAGAAUCAGCAUCAUGUUUGGCAGCUGAGUAUUGGAGCCAGGAGCCUGCCAUGAGGUUUUGAGAACAGAGUGCUGUUUUAGAGCUGGCAGCAGCAUCUCAGCCCAAGAGAAGGUUAUAUUCCCAGAGGAUGUCAGUCCCAAGGACCAGUAGCUGCCAUCAGUUUGGAUUCUGAAAACUAACUGGCAUCAACACUGGGUGUAGAAACAUGCUUGCCUUAUGUAUCAGAGGACAUGCUCAGCAGAUCCAAGAGAUAUAUUUGGCAACUUUUUCUAGAAAAGGCACAUUGGGUAUCAUUCAUUACAUUCUUGAGUUUUUUUGGGUUUUUUUUUUUUUUUUUGAGACAGUCUUGCUGUAUUGCCCAGGCUGGAGUGUGGUGGCACAAUCACAGCUCAUUGCAUCCUCAAUCACCCAGGCCUAAGCAAUCCUCCCACCUUGUAGCUGGGACUACAGCUCACAGCACACCUGGCUAAAAUUUUUUUUUUGUUGAGACGGAUUCUCUAUGUUGCCCAGGCUGGUCUCAGGCUCCUGGGCUCAGAUGGUCCUCCUGCCUCAGCUUCCAAAGGCACAGGCCAAGUUGUAGCUUUGUCCCUUGCCAUCAUGCCCAACAAGAGGUUCUAUACCUUUUAAUGAAUUGACUUUCAUAAAUUGGUUAUGUUGGUGGGCAAAGUUCUUUAAGCUGGAAAUUGUAAAUUCCUCCUGAAAUGUUUUUUCAUGCAGUUACCAUGAACUAAUACUACAAUAAAGGAUGGUCUUGGGUGUCAA